GAUCAUGGCUCAGGAUGAACGCUGGCGGCGUGCCUAACACAUGCAAGUCGAGCGAGAAGUCAUGGAUGGAAUCUUCGGAGGAAAGAAGUGAUAGAAAGCGGCGGACGGGUGAGUAACGCGUAGGUAACCUGCCCCAUACAGAGGGAUAGCCACUGGAAACGGUGACUAAUACCUCAUGACACUUUCUCUUCGCAUGGAGGGAAGGUCAAAGAUUUAUCGGUAUGGGAUGG
Molecule: ribosomal RNA, 230 nt
Filed under: uncultured bacterium
Lineage: Bacteria
Description: partial 16S ribosomal RNA
Rfam family: Bacterial small subunit ribosomal RNA
Source: RNAcentral